This 492-nucleotide ribosomal RNA is filed under the name uncultured bacterium. Its description in RNAcentral is "partial 16S ribosomal RNA". It matches the Rfam family "Bacterial small subunit ribosomal RNA", at positions 29 to 507 of the family's 1533-position model. The record is from RNAcentral.
AGUGAACGCUGGCGGUAGGCCUAACACAUGCAAGUCGAACGGCAGCACAGUAAGAGCUUGCUCUUACGGGUGGCGAGUGGCGGACGGGUGAGGAGUACAUCGGAAUCUACUUUUUCGUGGGGGAUAACGUAGGGAAACUUACGCUAAUACCGCAUACGACCUACGGGUGAAAGCAGGGGAUCUUCGGACCUUGCGCGACUGAAUGAGCCGAUGUCGGAUUAGCUAGUUGGCGGGGUAAAGGCCCACCAAGGCGACGAUCCGUAGCUGGUCUGAGAGGAUGAUCAGCCACACUGGAACUGAGACACGGUCCAGACUCCUACGGGAGGCAGCAGUGGGGAAUAUUGGACAAAGGGCGCAAGCCUGAUCCAGCCAUACCGCGUGGGUGAAGAAGGCCUUCGGGUUGUAAAGCCCUUUUGUUGGGAAAGAAAAGCAGCAGGUUAAUACCCCGCUGUUCUGACGGUACCCAAAGAAUAAGCACCGGCUAACUUCGUG